Molecule: long non-coding RNA, 1137 nt
Filed under: Salvia miltiorrhiza (redroot sage)
Lineage: Eukaryota; Viridiplantae; Streptophyta; Magnoliopsida; Lamiales; Lamiaceae
Description: long non-coding RNA (SMIL_LNC003825)
Source: RNAcentral
AGACUUUUGGCGACGGUGUCUCACCGGCCUUUUUGCCUUCCGAGCUGUUUGGGUUUUUGUUUUCGUAGGGUGAGAGCCGGGAUUGUUUGGGGACGAUGGUUAGGCCGGAGUUCCGGAAACUUUCUCUUCCGCUCUUUCCUUCUUUCUUUUUCGUCUUGUAGACGAGUACUCUUUUUCCUUUUUACGGUUUUUCCCUUUGGGUUUUCCGUAAGAAGGUUUUAAUGAGGCUCGGCCCUUAGUCUGCUUUUCUUGUGCUUUCAAGGGUUUUUUUUAGGUUUUUUCUUUUCUUUUUAUAUAAAAUCGCAGUUUAAUUAAUAAUAAUAAUAAUAAUAAUAAUAAUAAUAAUAAUAAUAAUAAUAAUAAUAAUAAUAAUAAUAAUAAUAAUAAUAAUAAUAAUAAUAAUGUACGUGUAAUGUUAAUUUUCAUUAUAUGAAUUAUUUUAUUUAUUUUAAAACAUAAUUUGCAUUUAUUUAUAUUUUUGAUUUUAUUUAAUAUUUAUACUUAUUCAUUUAAAUAUGUCGGUUAUUGUUAUGUUAGUCGUGCAUCGCACGGAUGGCGUACUAGUGUACUAUAGUACAAUAGUACACUUUUUGUUUUGUUUUUCCUUCUCAUUUUCUUUUUCAUUUGUGUUUUAUUUUUUAUUUUUGUUAUUUUUAUUAAUUUAUUUUCAAAACUAUAGUAAUUCCUUCAUAUGUUAUAUUUUAAAUUUUGAGUUCAUUAAAUUUAUUAUGGUAUAAUUUUAUUGAGUAAUUGAUCCAUGUUCUCAACGUAAGAUAUUAUUUCAUAAUUAUAUUUAUUUUUAAUUUUUUUUAAUUUGUUAUUUUCGAGUUAACUAAUUUAUUAUAAUAUAUUGUCCUAUAGUAUAUUUUUAUUGAGUUAUCGAUUGAUGUGCUCAACGUAUGACAUUAUUCCCACAACUAUAGUCAUACAUUUAUGUUUAAUAAAUUUUAUGUUCACUAAUUUGUUACUUCUUAUUUACUUAUUAACAUAUAGUUUUAUGAAAUAAUCAAAGAAAGUAGUUAACAUAUGAUAUUAUUCUAAAUAUUUUAGCUAUCCCUUCCUAUUUUUUUUUCAAGGUCACUAAUUUAUUGUAAUAUAAUGUCCUAUAGUAUAAUUUGAUUUAGUAAUCGAUCGAUG